RNAcentral lists this ribosomal RNA (372 nucleotides) under uncultured organism. RNAcentral describes it as "bacterial SSU rRNA". It matches the Rfam family "Bacterial small subunit ribosomal RNA", at positions 526 to 896 of the family's 1533-position model. The record is from RNAcentral.
CGGGGGGGGCAAGCGUUGUUCGGAAUUACUGGGCGUAAAGGGCGCGUAGGCGGCCUGCUAAGUCGGACGUGAAAUCCCCCGGCUCAACCGGGGAACUGCGUCCGAUACUGGUGGGCUCGAAUCCGGGAGAGGGAUGUGGAAUUCCAGGUGUAGCGGUGAAAUGCGUAGAUAUCUGGAGGAACACCGGUGGCGAAGGCGGCAUCCUGGACCGGCAUUGACGCUGAGGCGCGAAAGCCAGGGGAGCAAACGGGAUUAGAUACCCCGGUAGUCCUGGCCCUAAACGAUGAGUGCUUGGUGUGGCGGGUAUCGAUCCCUGCCGUGCCGAAGCUAACGCAUUAAGCACUCCGCCUGGGGAGUACGGUCGCAAGGCUG